AAAAUUAUUAAAAAAUUGACGCAGGCCUGCGAUGGUUCUAGUGUCUUGAUAUUUUUACAUGUUCUACAGUAAUUCCUGUAUGCUGAAUCCGAAAAUGAUAAUUAUUUUUCUCCAU
Molecule: long non-coding RNA, 115 nt
Organism: Limulus polyphemus (Atlantic horseshoe crab)
Lineage: Eukaryota; Metazoa; Arthropoda; Merostomata; Xiphosura; Limulidae
Exons: 3
Source: RefSeq, a predicted model, not a curated record